RNAcentral lists this long non-coding RNA (360 nucleotides) under Lathyrus oleraceus (garden pea). RNAcentral describes it as "Pisum sativum (pea) long non-coding RNA (PSAT_LNC018633)". Lineage: Eukaryota; Viridiplantae; Streptophyta; Magnoliopsida; Fabales; Fabaceae. The record is from RNAcentral.
CCGUUGUCGUGGACUGUUGAUAUUUCAACAAGGCGACGCUUGUGCAACAUUUAGUUUUUUUUUUUCAAUUGUAAAUAUUUUCAUUUGUAAAUAUUUUAUUUUAUUUUCUUCUUCAUUUUCCUUUUCUAUUUGUUUUUAUUUUUAGUUAUAUUCCUUUUUUUUUAAUCCAGUGCAAUGCUACUAAGGUAUUUUUCUUUUUGUUUGGAUGUAAGGUCUAGAAAAACAUGCAAGAGCUACUUUAGAAAAGUUUGUAGCUUAUACAAAGGAAUAUGGAGCAGAAACUAUAAUUCAAAAGCUUGCGAGAAAUUAUUCAAAGCCAGAACCUUACAUCAACAUUGAUCAUUCAUGGGAAGAGGAUUC